This 590-nucleotide long non-coding RNA is filed under the name Medicago truncatula (barrel medic). RNAcentral's name for it is "lncRNA gene16056". Lineage: Eukaryota; Viridiplantae; Streptophyta; Magnoliopsida; Fabales; Fabaceae. The record is from RNAcentral.
GGCAACCCCGUAUUAAAAAUGUUUUAUUUGCUUGAAUAGGCAAACUCACCUUAUUUAAUCACCUUAUUUUACAAAUUUGAUUUCAUUACAAUCAUCAUCUUAUUGUACAAAGUCAUAACUACAAAGAUAUUGAUAUUCGAUAAAGGAAAUCACAUAAAUUAGCGAGAGCCAACAGAAUAACUAAACGAUAACUCAUGAAAUAUUCUAGCAAUACAUUUGUAUACUCUCCCAAGAAUGCCACUAAAUACAUAAUCAUUUGGGAGGAAAAUACAUUGCCACAACACAUUUGCAAUAGGCGUUGUUCACACACUUUGGUAUCUUAGGAUGGUUACACAUUUCUUUGGGACAAUCGGAAUCUCUAAAACAUCUAUUUUUAUAUGCUGCAAUGAGUAAAAAUAAUAAAAUAAUGUAACUAAAAUAAGAUAAAAUAAUUCAUAUUUAUUAAAUUAGGAAAUUCAAAAACUAUCAAAAUAAUUACCUUCAACAUUUGUUGCAAUAAGAAAUAAGUAAACAAAGAUAAUCAUAACAUAUGUAAACUUGAUAGUUUUAUCCAUACUUCUCAUUCUUUGCAUGUAACAAAUGAAUUGAAA